GCGAGGGUGGCGGAAUUGGUAGACGCGCCAGAUUUAGGAUCUGGUGGAUUUUAUCCUUGCGGGUUCAAGUCCCGCUCCUCGCACCA
RNAcentral lists this transfer RNA (86 nucleotides) under Trueperaceae bacterium. RNAcentral describes it as "tRNA-Leu". It matches the Rfam family "tRNA". From Rfam's summary of the family: Transfer RNA (tRNA) molecules are approximately 80 nucleotides in length. Their secondary structure includes four short double-helical elements and three loops (D, anti-codon, and T loops). RNAcentral also lists the same sequence under 1 other name. Lineage: Bacteria; Thermotogati; Deinococcota; Deinococci; Trueperales; Trueperaceae. The record is from RNAcentral.